Molecule: long non-coding RNA, 1316 nt
Filed under: Scleropages formosus (Asian bonytongue)
Lineage: Eukaryota; Metazoa; Chordata; Actinopteri; Osteoglossiformes; Osteoglossidae
Description: lncRNA (ENSSFOG00015029821.1)
Source: RNAcentral
CAGAAUUUUCUGCAACACCCUAGAAUUCAUGGCUGCAUCCAUAAUCUUGCGAAGACGUAUUGAGAGGUUUAAGGUUAACCAAUCAUAUUAACUUAAAUUUCAACGGGUAUUCCUCAUUGGUCUGCACAAGUAAUAAAGCCUCCAAUGGCUUUUGCUUUGGGAGGAGCUUUGUAACAAUAGGCGGUCGCCAAAGUCGGUGUCUCCUCAUUGGAGUAUGGUAUGUUCCAGGGCUCGACCCUCCCGUGGAACAGAGACAGACACUGCGGUCGGUCCCAGUGCUGCUUCUCCACAGUCAUGAUACCAGCACCUGUUUUGAACUGAACUGAAACCAGCAUUCAUAAUGGAGGAUUCCCAGAGAGACAUCUUCAGGUUUCCUUCGCUGGUCAAAGCAAAGAGAAACAACGAUGCAAAACCAACAUUCCUUUCACCUGAUGUCGGAUAAACAUAACUGCAACCAAAUCAACAAAUGGAAAAGAAACAAGUAUCUUCUGUAUAUUUUAAUUCCCUGAAUCAUGUAUCUUCUACUCUGAUAGAUAUUGAUCUGUGGAUUUAGUUAAGAUAAUGACACAUAUGGGGUCUUCUUCUUCUUGUCUGUUAAUGUAAUUGAUAACCUGUAGGUAUACUUGGGACUCUAAGCCUUGAUGAUGCGUAUUUUUUGGGAUAACCAUUAAAUGACAUAAAGCAGCUCAAGACAGACCCAGCAGACUUGAGUUACAGCAGUGACUGUACCACUUGUCCGUGUUUACAAACUCCACAGGUGGCCUCCCAGGCCUAAAACCUUGCAGCAGCAUGUCUUCCACUUGUCCACUGUACACAACCAAAUGGCUGGUUCCUUCUCUUUCCAUUUACACACACUCUUGACAGGAUUUUACUGAGGCUGAGAGUCCCCAUUAUCCAGUUUAAUAACUAAACGCUUGGUAGAUUUCAUUCAGUUCUUUUUGUUCUUGUUAGUGUUCUUGCUUUUUUAUUUUUAUUUUGCUUGUAUAAAUUCAUAUGGUAGACAUGUAUGUUGUGAUGUAUAGAAAUAGCUGUAGAAAUGCAUUGUUUCCUUGUGGUAAGUGACUGAGAUGCUGCCACGGAUUUGAGACACUGAUAAAUGGUGCUAUUUUGGAAUUUUAUCUGCUCCUUGGUAAGGUAGCUCAGAUGGGUUUUAUUUACAUUUUUCAUGUUCUAAGAAGGUAUUGGUUCUUUGUUGUCUGGUUGUUGUAACUUGGUCUGGAUUGACUUAUUUUUCUGCCGUUUUCUGUGUGGCUUUCUUAUUGGGUGUAAGAUAAUAAUUAAAUAAAAAUGCAAAAGGCAGAUGGCUCUUAAGAAUA